RNAcentral lists this ribosomal RNA (125 nucleotides) under Myotis lucifugus (little brown bat). Lineage: Eukaryota; Metazoa; Chordata; Mammalia; Chiroptera; Vespertilionidae. The record is from RNAcentral.
AUCUACAGCCAUCCCACCCUGGAUACAUCAGAUCUUGUCUGAUCUUGGAAGCUAAGCAGGGUCAGGCCUGGUUAGUACUUGGAUGAAAUGAAAAUGUUCACUCUGACCAGCAAAAGUUAAAAAUU